AACGGGUCAAAAAAUAACGCCGUCCGAUCCCUAAUCGGCAUAGUUUAUGGUUAAGACUACGACGGUAUCUGAUCGUCUUCGAUCCCCUAACUUUCGUUCCUGAUUAAUGAAAACAUCCUUGGCAAAUGCUUUCGCAGUAGUUAGUCUUCAAUAAAUCCAAGAAUUUCACCUCUGACAAUUGAAUACUGAUGCCCCCGACUGUCCCUAUUAAUCAUUACGGCGGUCCUAGAAACCAACAAAAUAGAACCACACGUCCUAUUCUAUUAUUCCAUGCUAAUGUAUUCGAGCAUAGGCCUUCUUUAAGCGAUCUAAUUUGUUCAGAGUAAAAGUCCUGGUUCCCCGGCACACCCAGUGAAGGGCAUGCGGUUCUCCAGAAGGAAAGACCCAGCCGAGCCAGUGCACGCGGUGAGGCGGACCGGCCGGCUAGGCCCAAGGUUCAACUACGAGCUUUUUAACCUCAACAACUUUAAUAUACGCUAUUGGAGCUGGAAUUACCGCGGCUGCUGGCACCAGACUUGCCCUCCAAUUGUUCCUCGUUAAGGGAUUUAAAUUGUACUCAUUCCAAUUACAAGACCCGAAAGAGCCCUGUAUCAGUAUUUAUUGUCACUACCUCCCCGUGUCGGGAUUGGGUAAUUUGCGCGCCUGCUGCCUUCCUUGGAUGUAGUAGCCGUUUCUCAGGCUCCUU
RNAcentral lists this ribosomal RNA (685 nucleotides) under fungal sp. K11. Its description in RNAcentral is "partial 18S rRNA". Lineage: Eukaryota; Fungi. The record is from RNAcentral.